RNAcentral lists this ribosomal RNA (449 nucleotides) under uncultured bacterium. RNAcentral's name for it is "bacterial SSU rRNA". It matches the Rfam family "Bacterial small subunit ribosomal RNA", at positions 330 to 795 of the family's 1533-position model. The record is from RNAcentral.
ACCAGACUCCUACGGGAGGCAGCAGUGGGGGAUAUUGCACAAUGGGGGGAACCCUGAUGCAGCGACGCCGCGUGGGUGAAGAAGUAUUUCGGUAUGUAAAGCCCUAUCGGCAGGGAAGAAAUUGGACGGUACCUGACUAAGAAGCCCCGGCUAACUACGUGCCAGCAGCCGCGGUAAUACGUAGGGGGCAAGCGUUAUCCGGAUUCACUGGGUCUAAAGGGAGCGUAGACGGCCAUGCAAGCCUGGAGUGAAAGCCCGGGGCCCAACCCCGGGACUGCUCUGGGAACUGUGCGGCUGGAGUGCAGGAGGGGCAGGCGGAAUUCCUAGUGUAGCGGUGAAAUGCGUAGAUAUUAGGAGGAACACCAGUGGCGAAGGCGGCCUGCUGGACUGCAACUGACGUUGAGGCUCGAAGGCGUGGGGAGCAAACAGGAUUAGAUACCCGAGUAACA